RNAcentral lists this ribosomal RNA (423 nucleotides) under uncultured Ruminococcus sp. Its description in RNAcentral is "bacterial SSU rRNA". It matches the Rfam family "Bacterial small subunit ribosomal RNA", at positions 356 to 794 of the family's 1533-position model. The record is from RNAcentral. Lineage: Bacteria; Bacillati; Bacillota; Clostridia; Eubacteriales; Oscillospiraceae.
UGGGGAUAUUGCGCAAUGGGGGCAACCCUGACGCAGCAACGCCGCGUGAAGGAUGAAGGUCUUCGGAUUGUAAACUUCUUUUAUUAAGGACGAACAAAUGACGGUACUUAAUGAAUAAGCUCCGGCUAACUACGUGCCAGCAGCCGCGGUAAUACGUAGGGAGCAAGCGUUGUCCGGAUUUACUGGGUGUAAAGGGUGCGUAGGCGGCUUUGCAAGUCAGAUGUGAAAUCUAUGGGCUCAACCCAUAGCCUGCAUUUGAAACUGCAUGGCUUGAGUGAAGUAGAGGCAGGCGGAAUUCCCCGUGUAGCGGUGAAAUGCGUAGAGAUGGGGAGGAACACCAGUGGCGAAGGCGGCCUGCUGGGCUUUAACUGACGCUGAGGCACGAAAGCGUGGGUAGCAAACAGGAUUAGAUACCCUGGUAGU